RNAcentral lists this transfer RNA (68 nucleotides) under Caridina sp. FB-22. RNAcentral's name for it is "tRNA-Val". It matches the Rfam family "tRNA". Rfam says of the family: Transfer RNA (tRNA) molecules are approximately 80 nucleotides in length. Their secondary structure includes four short double-helical elements and three loops (D, anti-codon, and T loops). Lineage: Eukaryota; Metazoa; Arthropoda; Malacostraca; Decapoda; Atyidae. The record is from RNAcentral.
UGGGCUAUAGCUUAAUUAAAGCAUUCCGCUUACAUUGGAAAGAUCAUUUUUAUUAUAGUGUGGCUUAA